UAUUCUGCCCCACGGGGAAGGAUGAGAAGCUUCGACUCGAGCGAAGCGAGAGAACGUUGCCGCAGGCAACGGCCCGAAGGGCGAAGCGCUUUAGCGCCGAGUAAUCCUUCCCCCACCACUG
This 121-nucleotide small RNA is filed under the name Klebsiella pneumoniae. RNAcentral's name for it is "RtT sRNA". It matches the Rfam family "RtT RNA". Rfam says of the family: This family represents a bacterial cis-regulatory element known as RtT RNA. The exact function of RtT is unknown although it is thought that it may be involved in changing the cellular response in relation to amino acid starvation. Lineage: Bacteria; Pseudomonadati; Pseudomonadota; Gammaproteobacteria; Enterobacterales; Enterobacteriaceae. The record is from RNAcentral.